RNAcentral lists this ribosomal RNA (1372 nucleotides) under uncultured bacterium. RNAcentral describes it as "bacterial SSU rRNA". It matches the Rfam family "Bacterial small subunit ribosomal RNA", at positions 28 to 1381 of the family's 1533-position model. The record is from RNAcentral.
GAUGAACGCUGGCGGCGUGCCUAAUACAUGCAAGUCGAGCGAACGGACGAGAAGCUUGCUUCUCUGAUGUUAGCGGCGGACGGGUGAGUAACACGUGGAUAACCUACCUAUAAGACUGGGAUAACUUCGGGAAACCGGGGCUAAUACCGGAUAAUAUUUUGAACCGCAUGGUUCAAAAGUGAAAGACGGUCUUGCUGUCACUUAUAGAUGGAUCCGCGCUGCAUUAGCUAGUUGGUAAGGUAACGGCUUACCAAGGCAACGAUGCAUAGCCGACCUGAGAGGGUGAUCGGCCACACUGGAACUGAGACACGGUCCAGACUCCUACGGGAGGCAGCAGUAGGGAAUCUUCCGCAAUGGGCGAAAGCCUGACGGAGCAACGCCGCGUGAGUGAUGAAGGUCUUCGGAUCGUAAAACUCUGUUAUUAGGGAAGAACAUAUGUGUAAGUAACUGUGCACAUCUUGACGGUACCUAAUCAGAAAGCCACGGCUAACUACGUGCCAGCAGCCGCGGUAAUACGUAGGUGGCAAGCGUUAUCCGGAAUUAUUGGGCGUAAAGCGCGCGUAGGCGGUUUUUUAAGUCUGAUGUGGAAGCCCACGGCUCAACCGUGGAGGGUCAUUGGAAACUGGAAAACUUGAGUGCAGAAGAGGAAAGUGGAAUUCCAUGUGUAGCGGUGAAAUGCGCAGAGAUAUGGAGGAACACCAGUGGCGAAGGCGACUUUCUGGUCUGUAACUGACGCUGAUGUGCGAAAGCGUGGGGAUCAAACAGGAUUAGAUACCCUGGUAGUCCACGCCGUAAACGAUGAGUGCUAAGUGUUAGGGGGUUUCCGCCCCUUAGUGCUGCAGCUAACGCAUUAAGCACUCCGCCUGGGGAGUACGACCGCAAGGUUGAAACUCAAAGGAAUCGACGGGGACCCGCACAAGCGAUGGAGCAUGUGGUUUAAUUCGAAGCAACGCGAAGAACCUUACCAAAUCUUGACAUCCUUUGACAACUCUAGAGAUAGAGCCUUCCCCUUCGGGGGACAGAGUGACAGGUGGUGCAUGGUUGUCGUCAGCUCGUGUCGUGAGAUGUUGGGUUAAGUCCCGCAACGAGCGCAACCCUUAAGCUUAGUUGCCAUCAUUAAGUUGGGCACUCUAAGUUGACUGCCGGUGACAAACCGGAGGAAGGUGGGGAUGACGUCAAAUCAUCAUGCCCCUUAUGAUUUGGGCUACACACGUGCUACAAUGGACAAUACAAAGGGCAGCGAAACCGCGAGGUCAAGCAAAUCCCAUAAAGUUGUUCUCAGUUCGGAUUGUAGUCUGCAACUCGACUACAUGAAGCUGGAAUCGCUAGUAAUCGUAGAUCAGCAUGCUACGGUGAAUACGUUCCCGGGUCU